This 1308-nucleotide ribosomal RNA is filed under the name metagenome. RNAcentral describes it as "bacterial LSU rRNA". It matches the Rfam family "Bacterial large subunit ribosomal RNA", at positions 1578 to 2875 of the family's 2925-position model. The record is from RNAcentral.
UUUGAGACCGAAGUGAUUGAUACCCUGCUUCCAGGAAAAGCCACUAAGCUUCAGUCUAGAAUUGACCGUACCGCAAACCGACACAGGUGGGCAGGUAGAAGAUACUAAGGCGCUUGAGAGAACUCAGGAGAAGGAACACGGCAAAUUGAUACCGUAACUUCGGGAGAAGUUAUGCCCUGGUAGCUUGUAGGAGAACAUCCGAAGGGCGACGGGGCCGCAGAGAAUCGGUGGCUGCGACUGUUUAUUAAAAACACAGCACUCUGCAAACACGAAAGUGGACGUAUAGGGUGUGACGCCUGCCCGGUGCCGGAAGGUUAAGUGAUGGGGUGCAAGCUCUUGAUCGAAGCCCCGGUAAACGGCGGCCGUAACGAUAACGGUCCUAAGGUAGCGAAAUUCCUUGUCGGGUAAGUUCCGACCUGCACGAAUGGCGUAACGAUGGCCACACUGUCUCCUCCUGAGACUCAGCGAAGUUGAAGUGUUUGUGAAGAUGCAAUCUCCCCGCGGCUAGACGGAAAGACCCCAUGAACCUUUACUGUAGCUUUGCAUUGGACUUUGACGGGACUUGUGUAGGAUAGGUGGGAGGCGCUGAGACCAGGACGCUAGUUCUGGUGGAGCCGUCCUUGAAAUACCACCCUGGUGUCGUUGAGGUUCUAACCUAGGUCCAUCAUCUGGAUCGGGGACCGUGCAUGGUAGGCAGUUUGACUGGGGCGGUCUCCUCCCAAAAGGUAACGGAGGAGUACGAAGGUCUUCUAGGUACGGUCGGACAUCGUACUGAUAGUGCAAUGGCAAAAGAAGGCUUGACUGCGAGACCGACAAGUCGAGCAGGUGCGAAAGCAGGUCAUAGUGAUCCGGUGGUUCUGUAUGGAAGGGCCAUCGCUCAACGGAUAAAAGGUACUCUGGGAUAACAGGCUGAUUCCGCCCAAGAGUUCACAUCGACGGCGGAGUUUGGCACCUCGAUGUCGGCUCAUCACAUCCUGGGGCUGUAGCCGGUCCCAAGGGUAUGGCUGUUCGCCAUUUAAAGUGGUACGUGAGCUGGGUUUAAAACGUCGUGAGACAGUUUGGUCCCUAUCUGCCGUGGGCGCUGGAUAUUUGAGGGGGCCUGCUCCUAGUACGAGAGGACCGGAGUGGACGGAUCUCUGGUGUACCGGUUGUGACGCCAGUCGCAUCGCCGGGUGGCUAAAUCCGGAAGAGAUAACCGCUGAAAGCAUCUAAGCGGGAAACUCGCCUCGAGAUGAGAUAUCCCUGGGAACUUGAUUCCCCUGAAGGGUCGUCGAAGACCACGACGUUGAUAGGUCGGGUGUGGAAGCG